CCUUUGAGAGUUUAUCAAAAUACUGCUUUUUCAUUGCAGAGAUGCUGGAUAUCAACAGCACAAAGUU
Molecule: transfer RNA, 67 nt
Filed under: Bilobella aurantiaca
Lineage: Eukaryota; Metazoa; Arthropoda; Collembola; Poduromorpha; Neanuridae
Description: tRNA-Glu
Source: RNAcentral